AAAGGAUACGUGGCACCUCGGGUAGACCCCACCCGUUGUUAUCUAUACUCUUGUUGCUUUGGCAGGCCGUGCCUCCCACCGGGCUUCUGCUGGUCAGUGCCCUGCCAGAGGACCUAAACUCUGAAUUUUAGUGAUUGUCUGAGUACUAUAUAAUAGUUA
RNAcentral lists this unclassified non-coding RNA (159 nucleotides) under soil metagenome. Its description in RNAcentral is "partial internal transcribed spacer 1". The record is from RNAcentral.